GUGGAUAUAGCUCAGUAGUAGAGCACGUGCUUAGCAUGCACAAGGCCCUGGGUUCAGUCCUCAGCACCUCCA
RNAcentral lists this transfer RNA (72 nucleotides) under Camelus bactrianus (Bactrian camel). It matches the Rfam family "tRNA". Rfam says of the family: Transfer RNA (tRNA) molecules are approximately 80 nucleotides in length. Their secondary structure includes four short double-helical elements and three loops (D, anti-codon, and T loops). The record is from Rfam by way of RNAcentral. Lineage: Eukaryota; Metazoa; Chordata; Mammalia; Artiodactyla; Camelidae. RNAcentral also lists the same sequence under 3 other names.